Molecule: long non-coding RNA, 2098 nt
Filed under: Mus musculus (house mouse)
Lineage: Eukaryota; Metazoa; Chordata; Mammalia; Rodentia; Muridae
Description: long non-coding RNA chr1:94015049-94017147
Source: RNAcentral
GCAGGUAGCCUAUCUGAAAUAAGAUUUAAAUCAUAAAUACUCACAUCGAUGCUGGAUGAAGCAGUCUUACUGCAUUUUGUUAUGCCGUGUUUGGCUGACAUGACUGGGAGGCCUGCUCUUUUCUGAAGGGAAACAGGAGCAGUGGAUCAAGAGGAGAGGUGAGGGAGGGUGACAGGAGCAGAGGAGGGAGAGCAAGCUGGGUUCUGGAGCUACUAUAUAAGAGAAGAAGAAGGAAAAAGAAAAAGGAAAAACAUAAUUAACAACCUCACUGAAUUGUAAUAAAGCAAAAAAUAUGUAUCUAAUAAAUAGUUGAAAAUUUCAAAAAAAGGGAGAAAUCGAUUUAAAGUCAUGACUGGAUAUGCCAGAAAAUAACUUUUGGGCCGUUCUUAUGAUGUCAGGGUCCUUUCUUGAUGCAUCUCCCUACACUCCAGAAGCCUUUUGCAAGAGUCCUUGAGUGCUCAUUCUCCUUUGUGCUCCUGUAUUGGCUCGCUGGCAUGCCUCACCAAAUCAGACCAUGGACACCAGCUCUGCGGGGGACAGGCUCAGGGCACUAAGGACUUGUUGGAGUGGCAGAGAAAGGAAGAGAUGCCCCUGCCGAUGGGAUGCUCAUGAGUAAGAUGGGGUCAGGAGACUGACCAUGAGGUAGAUGAAGAGGAGGAGGAAGGUGGGGAGGAAGAGGAUGGAGAUGAAGAUGAAGGUGCUGAGGCAGCUAUAGGCUCCUGGGCAGCUGAAGGUGACCAAGAAGCAAAGGACUUAUGAGGAUGACUACUAGACAGCCAAAAAAAGAAAAGUUAGAUUUAAAAAGGCCAGUGUGACCUAGCCAACCCUUCACUGCUGAUCUCAGAAUCACCUUUGAUUGGAGAGGCCAACCCAACUGACUGUCUAUAGGGCUCAGUGCUGCCCCCCUGUUGACCAGUCUGAAUUUGUAACAGGAAGGAAAAACAAAACAAAACAAAACAAAACAAAACAAAACAAAACUUCCAAGGAUCUGAUGCUCUCUUCUGAACUCAGCUAGCACUAGAUAUACACAUGGAGCACAUGCAUGCAGUCAAAACCCUUAUAUACAAAAAUAAAGAUAAAUGCACCUAAAAAGCAUUUUAAGAGGAAAUAUUGUAUUCUUCAAUUUACAUUUUAUACUUUUGUAAGUAUUGUUUAGUGGCAGCCACUAUUUUUGAAACAGGGUUUCUUUGUGUAACAGCUGUGGCUGCCCUGGAACUGCUUUUCCACUAGGAUGGCCUGGAACUCUCCUCUCCCUUCCAAGUGUUGUUAUUAAAGGCUUGUACAGCCUGUGCCCAGCUGCAUCAGCCACUUUUGAUGAUACAAAGUAACCAACCCCAAAAUUAGGAGCAUUCUAAGUCCUUCUCCCUUGGCUUGCUUGCUUGCUUGCUUCCUUUCUUUCUUUUUGAUUUUUUUUUUUAUUUUAUGUAUAUGGGUACACUGUCACUCUCUUCAGACACACCAGAAGAGGGCAUCAGAUCCCAUGCGGUGGCUGGGAAUUGAACUCAGGACCUCUAGAAGAGCAGUCAGUGCUCUUAAUUGCCGAGCCAGCUCUUUACCUCCCUUCCUUUGGCCCUUUUGAGACAAGGUCUCUCUACAUAGCCCUGGCUGUCCUGGAACUCACUUUAAAGAUCAAGUUGGCCUCAAUUUGAUAGAGAUCUGUCUGCCUCUGCUUCCAAGAGCUAGAAUCAAAGACAUGCACCGCUGCACCUAACUCUGUGUCUUACUUCUUAUUUUCUUUGUGGAAUAAUUCAUUAUAAUUUCAAAGAAGGAAAAGGAGACCUUGAAGAAAAGAAAACAAAACACCGCCAACAAAAUCAUAUUCUGAGUACUCUGUGACUUUUUUUUUUUUUUUUUUUUUGGUGCAGAGGAUCCAGGUUCCAUUCCCAGCACCCAUGUGUCAGCUCACAACCACCUAUAACUCCAUAUCUAGGGCAUUCAGUGCCCUAUAUUUAGUUGGUUUGUAUGAAAUGAUGAAAAAGGCCAAACACAUUUUCUUUUUUUUUGUAUAUGAAAUUAUUGUUCAUUUAUUUAUUGGUCUAUUUGCUGUAUGUGUGGAACAAUAUCCAAGAAUAAACUACAGAUUAUUUUCUUUCCUUUU